ACCUCUCUCAGGGUUUAUAGAAUUGCUGAGAACUAGGGACUUCCGCUGGAUUAGGCUUUGCCUUAAAGGAAUGUCAUGCCUGUUUUAAUUAAAAUGAUAAAGAACCAAAUAUUUCAGAAACUACAAAAAUGUGACACAGAGAUAAGAAAUGAGCAAAUGCUGCCAGAAAAAAAUGUCACCAAUGGAAUUGCUGUACUCAGGGUUGUUACAAAUCUUCAAUUGUUUAAAAAUAUGCAUUACCAGGGAGGGCAAUAAAAUGAAACAUGCCUGUAAUAGCAAUGAAUUUGCACUGGGAAGGUAAAAAGGGGAUUCCUGCCUUCAGAAUUCUCUCCUUUCUCCACUCCCCAGCACAGCCAAGCUCUUGAGUGCACAUGUGCACACACAAAGCCAGUUGUUUUAUGUUUAUAGAGGGUAAAAAGAAAAUGCAAGACCACCAUGCUGCAUCAGGAUCUCUGAAAGAACGUGAGGAAGACGGUUUCCAAAGGCAGGUGAAGAAAGUACGCGUCCUUGAUGAAAUCAGUGGACAGAGAUCUAUGGACACUGAAGGGAAGGUGGACAUGAACGGAUGUGAGCUGGUGGGAAAGCAGCAGCUGUUGGCAGCAAAGGAGGAGGCAAAAUUGGCUGAAGAGGAGACAAGAUGGUACAAGAUAAGACUUGAAGAAUGUCACGGGCAAAUGUGGGAAGCAGAGAUCAUUUGGAGACACCAGGUAACCUGCCUUCCUCCUGACACACCGAGUCCUCAGCACCUGAUGCAGACAGUUAUUGUGGCCCUGAGAACCCCUAGCCAUGGGGUGUUUCUUGAUGUGUUGACUUUUUCAGGUCACUCUUGCCGAGAAGAAGGCCCAAGACAGCUCGCUCAGGGCUCAGGAGCUGGAGAGGGAAAUCUCUGAAUUGAGAAGGGAAAACUCUGACGUGACAAGGGAAAACUCUGACCUGAGAAGGGAAAAUUCCUCUGAGCUGAGAAGUGAAGUUGCCCACCUGAAACAGAGAUUGGAUGCAAUCUGCAGAUGGAGGCAGGCAGAGGAAUACAUGAGGCAGGAGCCCACCCCAGGAGGACCGUACAGGCUGCAACCUCCCCUGAGAGCUUCACAGAGGGAUGGCAACCCUGUUAGGAAUGGAACCGCCUUUCCGGCUCAGGAGGCAGAGGAAACCAAAGUAAGUAAUUUUACUCAGUUGUGUUGUGGUGGUCAUUUUGUAUUGAAUAAUCUCUGGAACUAGCAUUUUCUUUUUGAACAAACAAUUCCUGGCUUUGCCUGUGGAUUGGGAAUUAGGGGAAAAGUAUGCCCAGUCAUCACAGUGAAGUUUGGUAAAAGUAUUUUAUCGCCAAACUUUACUGAGCA
This is a long non-coding RNA of Camelus dromedarius (Arabian camel), 1340 nucleotides long. RefSeq lists it as uncharacterized. The transcript has 6 exons. The record is from RefSeq and is a predicted model, not a curated record. Lineage: Eukaryota; Metazoa; Chordata; Mammalia; Artiodactyla; Camelidae.